UACGGAGGGGGCUAGCGUUCUUCGGAAUUACUGGGCGUAAAGCGCCCGUAGGCGGCUUUGUAAGUCAGAGGUGAAAGCCUGGAGCUCAACUCCAGAACUGCCUUUGAGACUGCAUCGCUUGAAUCCAGGAGAGGUGAGUGGAAUUCCGAGUGUAGAGGUGAAAUUCGUAGAUAUUCGGAAGAACACCAGUGGCGAAGGCGGCUCACUGGACUGGUAUUGACGCUGAGGUGCGAAAGCGUGGGGAGCAAACAGG
RNAcentral lists this ribosomal RNA (253 nucleotides) under uncultured bacterium. Its description in RNAcentral is "partial 16S ribosomal RNA". It matches the Rfam family "Bacterial small subunit ribosomal RNA", at positions 524 to 776 of the family's 1533-position model. The record is from RNAcentral.